CCUACGGGUGGCAGCAGUAGGGAAUUUUGGGCAAUGGACGUAAGCCUGACGCAGCAACGCCGCGUGAUCGAGACGCCCUUCGGGGUGUAAAGAUCUGUCAGUGGGGACGAAACUUGACGGUCCCCACAGAGGAAGCACCGGCUCACUUCGUGCCACCAGCCGCGGUAAUAAGGAGGGUGCAAGCGUUGUCCGGCAUCAGUGGGCGUAAAGAGUUCGUAGGGGGCACGUAAAGUCUGUUGUUAAAGGCAGAGGCUCAACCUCGGUACGGCAAUUGAUACUUGCGGGCGAGAGUGCGGGAGAGGCAACGGGAAUUCCUGGUGUAGCGGUGAAAUGCGUAGAUAUUAGGAGGAACAUCGGUGGCGUAAGCGGUUUACUGGACCGUAAUUGACGCUGAGGAACGAAAGCGAGGGUAGCAAAUAGGAUUAGAUACCCUAGUAGUC
RNAcentral lists this ribosomal RNA (440 nucleotides) under uncultured bacterium. RNAcentral's name for it is "partial 16S ribosomal RNA". It matches the Rfam family "Bacterial small subunit ribosomal RNA", at positions 338 to 795 of the family's 1533-position model. The record is from RNAcentral.